RNAcentral lists this long non-coding RNA (1420 nucleotides) under Pogona vitticeps (central bearded dragon). Its description in RNAcentral is "lncRNA (ENSPVIG00000005380.1)". Lineage: Eukaryota; Metazoa; Chordata; Lepidosauria; Squamata; Agamidae. The record is from RNAcentral.
AUGUCUCCCUUCUCCACUUCGGCGGGAAGAGCACCGGCUUUUCCAAGCGCCUUCCUCCGGUCCGGACCCACCAGGUGUCGAGGCGCGGAAGGCGGCCGGGCUGUUAUUCUCCUCUGCCUUGAGGCGGGACGGUUCCAAGACGUCCGAGCCUCCUCCGUGGAGGGUCCAGUCCCGGAGGCAGAGGCUCCGGGGCUGUUUCGGGCGGACGCCGGAGCAACGCGGCCGGUCAGGGCCCAGCGCUUGGCUUUCUCGGCGUCGGACCCCCUGGGAGCCCCUCCGUGGGAAACGAUGCGCAGCCACCUCGGGUGGAAUCGGGGAAGCUUUAAUGCAGAAAAAAAGGAAAGAAAGGUGGCAGCAUUCGACCGCAGUAGGGCAAUCUGUUUUGCUGUGGACGUGUUUUUGCUCCCUGAACACUUGUGAGGUGCAGGAUACAGUUGUUUCUACUGAGGGUACAAGUGAGAGACUCAGAGAUGGCCCCCAUUCAUGAUCUGCGAAACCAAUUUCAUUACAGUCCGAAAGAAGAGGACCACGCUACUCUGGAAGUAAAAUAAUGGCAACAAAUAAUGGACAAUAUUUCACGGCCAUGUCAUGACUGGAAACGUCUUGGAAGAUGCAGGUUUGAACUGACAUCUUAUAGCAUAUUUUCUUACAUUAUAAAAAUAUCAUGGUCCGAAGAAAAAUUCACUUUCUCUGACAUAGAAUACUUUACAUAGCAUUCUGCCUUAAUACUUCCUACUUGAUUUUUCUUCUUUAUGUCGAUGAAUUUACAGAUUCUGUGUCUCUGUGGAAACUGAUCAUGGUCAAGUCACAUUUGAAUUCCACCUAGAGUGAGAUUUUUUUCCGUUCCUUUUCAGAUUUUGGUCCUUACAGUUUAAGUCAAGUCCUAGAUCUAUGAGAGGUUUCUUUCCCCAGCCUCUUUGUCGUAGGCCUGCAUUUAGUUUGCAGUUUUCAUUAUUAAUAUACCUGGCUUUUCCACCCAAAACGCAGCUAAGAGUGAUAAAGCUCAAAGUAAGAAUGAAGUCUUGAUAAAACACAGCAAAAACAAAUUAAUUGGAAAUACGAUAAAAGGUAUAGCCAGCUUCCUGUUUGUCAUUCCGUGCCUUAAAUCACACCUGGGAAAAAUUGCCUCUUCCGACUACAUCUCACAGAAGACUUCAACCAACACUGCCAUUAUCCAAAAAAGGUAGAUUUUUAUGGACUCUGCUUUAAGCAAGGAUUCUGAAAGAGCUUUGUUUUAAAUACCAGCUUUCCUACCAAAACCCUGACUGAAUAGAAAUCUGUGUGCUGUUUUAGAAGAUCUAAAAUUCUAUAGAUUGGCAGAGACAUGUUGUACAUUUCUCUGGGGAGGGGGGAGUGUGUGGCCUUUAAUUUCACAAUGAUUGAAUUCACACCAGUCAUUUUAUAUGGCGCCAGUCUUUUC